This is a long non-coding RNA of Apodemus sylvaticus (European woodmouse), 254 nucleotides long. RefSeq lists it as uncharacterized. Lineage: Eukaryota; Metazoa; Chordata; Mammalia; Rodentia; Muridae. The transcript has 3 exons. The record is from RefSeq and is a predicted model, not a curated record.
AGCCCAGAGCCCUGAUAUGCUAAGUAUGUGCUGUGACACUUAAACCCUCAGCCCUGCACUGUGUCGAUAGGAAAAUGACUGACAUCAGUAACGUGCUUACAGCAGUGAAAUUAUAAACUCUGGAGCUGGUCCUGGAGAGGCCAGGUGGGAAGCCAGGUGAGAAGCCAGGUGGGAAGCCAGGUGAGAAGCCAGGUGGGAGGCAAGGUGGGAGGCCAGGUGGGAAGCCAGGUGGGAAGCCAGGUGGGAGGCCAGGU